UACGUAGGGGGCCAGCGUUGCUCGGAAUUACUGGGGGUAAAGGGUUCGUAGGCGGUGUGGCAAGUCGGGAGUGAAAUCUCUGGGCUCAACCCAGAGUCUGCUUCCGAAACUGCUGUGCUUGAGUGUGGGAGAGGCGCGUGGAAUUGCAGGUGUAGCGGUGAAAUGCGUAGAUAUCUGCAGGAACACCCGUGGCGAAAGCGGCGCGCUGGACCACUACUGACGCUGAGGAACGAAAGCUAGGGGAGCAAACAGG
This 253-nucleotide ribosomal RNA is filed under the name uncultured bacterium. Its description in RNAcentral is "partial 16S ribosomal RNA". It matches the Rfam family "Bacterial small subunit ribosomal RNA", at positions 524 to 776 of the family's 1533-position model. The record is from RNAcentral.